RNAcentral lists this ribosomal RNA (497 nucleotides) under uncultured bacterium. RNAcentral's name for it is "partial 16S ribosomal RNA". It matches the Rfam family "Bacterial small subunit ribosomal RNA", at positions 28 to 507 of the family's 1533-position model. The record is from RNAcentral.
GAUGAACGCUGGCGGCGUGCCUAAUACAUGCAAGUCGAGCGAACGGACGAGAAGCUUGCUUCUCUGAUGUUAGCGGCGGACGGGUGAGUAACACGUGGAUAACCUACCUAUAAGACUGGGAUAACUUCGGGAAACCGUAGCUAAUACCGGAUAAUAUUUUGAACCGCAUGGUUCAAAAGUGAAAGACGGUCUUGCUGUCACUUAUAGAUGGAUCCGCGCUGCAUUAGCUAGUUGGUAAGGUAACGGCUCACCAAGGCAACGAUGCAUAGCCGACCUGAGAGGGUGAUCGGCCACACUGGAACUGAGACACGGUCCAGACUCCUACGGGAGGCAGCAGUAGGGAAUCUUCCGCAAUGGGCGAAAGCCUGACGGAGCAAUGCCGCGUGAGUGAUGAAGGUCUUCGGAUCGUAAAACUCUGUUAUUAGGGAAGAACAUAUGUGUAAGUAACUGUGCACAUCUUGACGGUACCUAAUCAGAAAGCCACGGCUAACUACGUG